RNAcentral lists this ribosomal RNA (1071 nucleotides) under Salmonella enterica subsp. enterica. RNAcentral describes it as "bacterial SSU rRNA". It matches the Rfam family "Bacterial small subunit ribosomal RNA", at positions 1 to 1061 of the family's 1533-position model. The record is from RNAcentral. Lineage: Bacteria; Pseudomonadati; Pseudomonadota; Gammaproteobacteria; Enterobacterales; Enterobacteriaceae.
AAAUUGAAGAGUUUGAUCAUGGCUCAGAUUGAACGCUGGCGGCAGGCCUAACACAUGCAAGUCGAACGGUAACAGGAAGCAGCUUGCUGCUUUGCUGACGAGUGGCGGACGGGUGAGUAAUGUCUGGGAAACUGCCUGAUGGAGGGGGAUAACUACUGGAAACGGUGGCUAAUACCGCAUAAUGUCGCAAGACCAAAGAGGGGGACCUUCGGGCCUCUUGCCAUCAGAUGUGCCCAGAUGGGAUUAGCUUGUUGGUGAGGUAACGGCUCACCAAGGCGACGAUCCCUAGCUGGUCUGAGAGGAUGACCAGCCACACUGGAACUGAGACACGGUCCAGACUCCUACGGGAGGCAGCAGUGGGGAAUAUUGCACAAUGGGCGCAAGCCUGAUGCAGCCAUGCCGCGUGUAUGAAGAAGGCCUUCGGGUUGUAAAGUACUUUCAGCGGGGAGGAAGGUGUUGCGGUUAAUAACCGCAGCAAUUGACGUUACCCGCAGAAGAAGCACCGGCUAACUCCGUGCCAGCAGCCGCGGUAAUACGGAGGGUGCAAGCGUUAAUCGGAAUUACUGGGCGUAAAGCGCACGCAGGCGGUCUGUCAAGUCGGAUGUGAAAUCCCCGGGCUCAACCUGGGAACUGCAUUCGAAACUGGCAGGCUUGAGUCUUGUAGAGGGGGGUAGAAUUCCAGGUGUAGCGGUGAAAUGCGUAGAGAUCUGGAGGAAUACCGGUGGCGAAGGCGGCCCCCUGGACAAAGACUGACGCUCAGGUGCGAAAGCGUGGGGAGCAAACAGGAUUAGAUACCCUGGUAGUCCACGCCGUAAACGAUGUCUACUUGGAGGUUGUGCCCUUGAGGCGUGGCUUCCGGAGCUAACGCGUUAAGUAGACCGCCUGGGGAGUACGGCCGCAAGGUUAAAACUCAAAUGAAUUGACGGGGGCCCGCACAAGCGGUGGAGCAUGUGGUUUAAUUCGAUGCAACGCGAAGAACCUUACCUGGUCUUGACAUCCACAGAACUUUCCAGAGAUGGAUUGGUGCCUUCGGGAACUGUGAGACAGGUGCUGCAUGGCUGUCGUCAGCUC